UACGAAGGGGGCUAGCGUUGUCCGGAAUUACUGGGCGUAAAGGGCGCGCAGGCGGCCCUCCAAGUCAGGCGUGAAAGCCCCGGGCUCAACCUGGGAACCGCGCUUGAGACUGGCAUGCUCGAGUUCGGGAGAGGAUGGUGGAAUUCCCAGUGUAGAGGUGAAAUUCGUAGAUAUUGGAAAGAACACCGAUGGCGAAGGCAGCCAUCUGGACCGACACUGACGCUGAGGCGCGAAAGCGUGGGGAGCAAACAGG
RNAcentral lists this ribosomal RNA (253 nucleotides) under uncultured bacterium. RNAcentral describes it as "partial 16S ribosomal RNA". It matches the Rfam family "Bacterial small subunit ribosomal RNA", at positions 524 to 776 of the family's 1533-position model. The record is from RNAcentral.